AAGUCGUAACAAGGUCUCCGUAGGUGAACCUGCGGAGGGAUCAUUCACAUGAUAUACUUUAAUAAACAAACUGUGAACUUUAUUAUAUACUAUUCGUGUUUCUUAUCAGUUUUACUGUAUAAUAAACAUUGUCAUUCGAUUGAACAUAAGAUAGUUGGCUUGAAAUAUUUUAAAUAUUUCUUUCUCAGCUUUGAUUUGAUAUAACUAAACAUUUUAUCACUUCAACCAUAAAACAUAGAAACAACUCUAUGCCCUGGAUAUCUUGGUUCUC
This 271-nucleotide unclassified non-coding RNA is filed under the name fungal sp. Its description in RNAcentral is "partial internal transcribed spacer region". The stretch from base 1 to 46 matches the Rfam family "Eukaryotic small subunit ribosomal RNA", at positions 1786 to 1831 of the family's 1831-position model. The record is from RNAcentral. Lineage: Eukaryota; Fungi. RNAcentral also lists the same sequence under 1 other name.